UAGGGAAUCUUCCGCAAUGGGCGAAAGCCUGACGGAGCAACGCCGCGUGAGUGAUGAAGGUCUUCGGAUCGUAAAACUCUGUUAUUAGGGAAGAACAAAUGUGUAAGUAACUAUGCACGUCUUGACGGUACCUAAUCAGAAAGCCACGGCUAACUACGUGCCAGCAGCCGCGGUAAUACGUAGGUGGCAAGCGUUAUCCGGAAUUAUUGGGCGUAAAGCGCGCGUAGGCGGUUUUUUAAGUCUGAUGUGAAAGCCCACGGCUCAACCGUGGAGGGUCAUUGGAAACUGGAAGACUUGAGUGCAGAAGAGGAAAGUGGAAUUCCAUGUGUAGCGGUGAAAUGCGCAGAGAUAUGGAGGAACACCAGUGGCGAAGGCGACUUUCUGGUCUGUAACUGACGCUGAUGUGCGAAAGCGUGGGGAUCAAACAGG
This 429-nucleotide ribosomal RNA is filed under the name Actinomycetes bacterium. RNAcentral describes it as "Actinobacteria bacterium partial 16S ribosomal RNA". It matches the Rfam family "Bacterial small subunit ribosomal RNA", at positions 355 to 776 of the family's 1533-position model. Lineage: Bacteria; Bacillati; Actinomycetota; Actinomycetes. RNAcentral also lists the same sequence under 1 other name. The record is from RNAcentral.